CUCCACCUGCCACACAAAAAUAAAAGGAGACCCUCUAGACCCCAUACAUAUCCCGUUCAUAGUAAUGUAGGAAAGUUGUAUUGCACCCAUCCUUUACAAAGCUCCGCAUGACCCCCCCCCCAAAAAAAAAAGGAAAACUGAAUUAAGAUGAAGAAUUGACACACUACUCACCCAGUUUAUGUAACAUAAUCAAGGUAGUGGGACCAUCCAAGAGGCAAAAGAUUGCUUGAAGGCGAAAACACAAAGGCCAGAAGCAAUGGCCUUUCAAAAUAGGCCAUUGUCCAACCAAUAGGCCAAGGUUAAUCCAGUCAUGCAUGCAAUUCCCUUACUAAACUAGAUUUUAAGGAUUUUAUCAAAUGAUGUAACCAAGUACAUUACAGUAAGAAAGGUAGACAUCUCGAGAAGGCAUGCUCAGAAAAUUUUCUUUCAACUGAAUUUAUACAUUAUAUCUCACUUCGACUAAAGGUGAGAGCUUAAGCUCCUCAUUUUUUAAGAUUUACUCAGAACUCAGAAGCACCUUUCUUUGUUUAUAUUCCUUAUACUUUUUCAUUCACAGCUAGUUCUUGUCUAUCUAAUUCAGUUAUGCUCUCAUAUGGUAACAUCAUAACAGGAAACUAGUUUACCAUUCAAAACUAACUUCUACAUUUCCAGAUACCAUAUGGUUCACAAUAAUACCAGAAUCCCAGUAGGUUACCUGAAGCAGGAGUUCUUGCAUGUCCAGCAGUUCCUUCAGAAGUUGGGGACUUUUGCCACGUACGAGACUGAAAACUCUCGGAUGAAUUUCCAUCCUCUGAUGCACAUGCAG
This 805-nucleotide long non-coding RNA is filed under the name Gossypium barbadense (sea-island cotton). Its description in RNAcentral is "long non-coding RNA (GBAR_LNC022150)". Lineage: Eukaryota; Viridiplantae; Streptophyta; Magnoliopsida; Malvales; Malvaceae. The record is from RNAcentral.